This is a non-coding RNA of Miniopterus natalensis, 491 nucleotides long. The record is from RefSeq and is a predicted model, not a curated record. Lineage: Eukaryota; Metazoa; Chordata; Mammalia; Chiroptera; Miniopteridae.
GACCAUGACUUCAUUGCACCUGUUUCUCCCAAACCCUUUGACUGGAGUGUGCUCGCCUCCCUCCUGGAAACCACAGGUAACUAUUUCCUCACGGGAGCUCGAACUUGGAAGAGCCCAUAGAAAGCAUUCUACGUCGGAAGAGACCAAAAACCUGCAAGGGGGAAUGACCUGCCCAAGGAGCCCUCUCCACUCUGCAGCCAGAGUCAUCUGUCUGAGCAGGAUGUGACCUUGUCACUCUCCAUGAGAAAACUCUCUGUGGCCCCUACUUACCUACAGUAGAGGCCAAACUUCUUCCCAGGCCUGUGGUGCCCAGUGUGGUCAGCCCUCCUCAGGGCUGCCCUCCCUGACCAUCUGUGCAAGGCAGAUGCUCGGCCCCACUCACUCCCUUCCCAUCGCCCUGAUGGGAUGUGUUCACGACACAUAACACCAUCCAUGUAACAUCAUCUGGUUUGUUUACUGAUUUUUCUCCUUUAUCUGGGUCAACUCACUAG